RNAcentral lists this ribosomal RNA (460 nucleotides) under uncultured bacterium. RNAcentral describes it as "partial 16S ribosomal RNA". It matches the Rfam family "Bacterial small subunit ribosomal RNA", at positions 338 to 795 of the family's 1533-position model. The record is from RNAcentral.
CCUACGGGUGGCAGCAGUGAGGAAUAUUGGUCAAUGGCCGGAAGGCUGAACCAGCCAUGUCGCGUGAAGGAAGACGGCUCUAUGAGUUGUAAACUGCUUUUGUACGGGGGGAAACGCUGAUACGUGUAUCUGUCUGAACGUAUCGUACGAAUAAGCAUCGGCUAACUCCGUGCCAGCAGCCGCGGUAAUACGGAGGAUUCAAGCGUUAUCCGGAUUUAUUGGGUUUAAAGGGUGCGUAGGCGGUUGGAUAAGUUAGAGGUUAAAUCCCGAGGAUUAACUUCGGAAUUGCCUUUGAUACUGUUCGGCUAGAGUGUAGUCGCGGUAGGCGGAAUGAGUUGUGUAGCGGUGAAAUGCUUAGAGAUCAUGCAGAACACCGAUUGCGAAGGCAGCUUACCAGACUGCUUCUGACGUUGAGGCACGAAAGCGUGGGGAGCAAACAGGAUUAGAUACCCUUGUAGUC